Long non-coding RNA from Capsicum annuum, 487 nucleotides. RefSeq lists it as uncharacterized. The record is from RefSeq and is a predicted model, not a curated record. The transcript is spliced from 2 exons. NCBI's taxonomy places the organism in Eukaryota, Viridiplantae, Streptophyta, Magnoliopsida, Solanales, Solanaceae.
AAAAGCCCAAAUCAAAUGCCUUUAACUUUGUUUUACUUAUUAACCACCCACCUUCUACCUGCCUCUCCAAAUGUUCAUAUUUUUAACGGCUGAUCCAAAUUUGAAAUACAGAGCUUUUUCAUAUUCUUCCAUCAUUCCGGUGAAAUGUGGUCUCCAUCUUCGUUCACUCACUGCCAUAAAAAAGGACGAUGACGACAUAGGACACAGAAGUUCCUUCUCUCUCUUUUGAAUCCCAGGGAUUGUCUCAGGGAAGAGGCCAGUCCCUGAAAAAGCCAUCUCGAUUGGUAUCAUUCAAAUGCGAAUAUAGGCCUGAUUGAAGCAUAUGUUUCAAAGUGUAUUAUCGUUUGUGCUGGUCAUGUUUAUGUUAUUAUCUGAUGCGUUAAUACCUGUUGUUUCGUCUGCACUAUUUUUGCCUUAAGCCGACGGUCUAUUGGAAACAUCCGAAUAUAGCGGGUUUGUUGUUGUUGUUAUUGAAAUAUUCAUGUGA